UCCUCCAUAGCUCAGUUGGCAGAGCAUUCGACUGUUAAUCGAAAGUUCACUGGUUCGAGCUCAGUCGGAGGAG
RNAcentral lists this transfer RNA (73 nucleotides) under Corynebacterium pseudogenitalium. RNAcentral describes it as "tRNA-Asn". It matches the Rfam family "tRNA". From Rfam's summary of the family: Transfer RNA (tRNA) molecules are approximately 80 nucleotides in length. Lineage: Bacteria; Bacillati; Actinomycetota; Actinomycetes; Mycobacteriales; Corynebacteriaceae. The record is from RNAcentral. RNAcentral also lists the same sequence under 1 other name.